UGAAUGGGCAACGAUUCGCGUGUCUCACGGGCCCCUGGUAGCGUACACCGGUUCUUCGUUCCGUUGGCUCGAUCGUUUCGAGCGUCGUCGUUUGAGGCCGCCGCGAUCGUGGAAGCUGCAGCCGCGAUCGCGGGGACGAGGACGAAGCGUAUCGGCGCGAAAAGCGGUAAAGAGGCGAGGCGAGCGUAGGAGUGAGCGACGGUGGAAACGUCGCGGAAGGAGAGACGACGAGCGACGGACGAGCGAAAAUAAGAGACAGGCGGAGUGAAAGAAGAGGGUAAACGGGACAAGAAGGAAUUCCUGAGCGGUUCUCUCCGUCUACGCGGCGUCUCUUACUCCGACGCGAAAUUAGGGUUGGGAUUCUUUGACGAAUUCGUCUGUUUACGAAUAUUCGAACGCUGAAGUGGGUCAGGCGUUUGUCGAAUGCACCGCGGGAACCCUGACCGAAGUUCGGUCACCGAACCAAUGACUAUACUUCGUCUACAAGUGCUACCUGUCGUUGUUAACGAUACAUAAACGUAAAUAAUAUCGGGUUGUUCCAAAAAUGUUUAAUAGAAG
Hylaeus volcanicus is the source of this 558-nucleotide long non-coding RNA. RefSeq lists it as uncharacterized. The record is from RefSeq and is a predicted model, not a curated record. NCBI's taxonomy places the organism in Eukaryota, Metazoa, Arthropoda, Insecta, Hymenoptera, Colletidae. The transcript has 2 exons.